This 478-nucleotide ribosomal RNA is filed under the name uncultured bacterium. RNAcentral describes it as "bacterial SSU rRNA". It matches the Rfam family "Bacterial small subunit ribosomal RNA", at positions 29 to 496 of the family's 1533-position model. The record is from RNAcentral.
AGUGAACGCUGGCGGCAGGCCUAAUACAUGCAAGUCGAACGGCAGCACAGCAGAGCUUGCUCUGUGGGUGGCGAGUGGCGGACGGGUGAGGAAUACAUGGGAAUCUGCCCAGUCGUGGGGGAUAACGUAUGGAAACGUACGCUAAUACCGCAUGCGCCCUACGGGGGAAAGUCGGGGACCGCAAGGCCUGACGCGAUUGGAUGAGCCCAUGUUCGAUUAGCUAGUUGGCGGGGUAAAGGCCCACCAAGGCGACGAUCGAUAGCUGGUCUGAGAGGAUGAUCAGCCACACUGGAACUGAGACACGGUCCAGACUCCUACGGGAGGCAGCAGUAGGGAAUAUUGGACAAUGGGGGCGAACCCUGAUCCAGCCAUGCCGCGUGAGUGAAGAAGGCCCUCGGGUUGUAAAGCUCUUUUGUCCGGAAGAAAAGCAAUCGGUUAAUACCGGUUGUUCUGACGGUACCGGAAGAAUAAGCACCGG